CGGCAAGCCUGACGGAGCGACGCCGCGUGCGGGAUGAAGGCCUUCGGGUUGUAAACCGCUGUCAGAGGGGAUGAAAGCCGCAAGGCUUGACAGAGCCUCAGAGGAAGCACGGGCUAAGUUCGUGCCAGCAGCCGCGGUAAGACGAACUGUGCGAACGUUAUUCGGAAUCACUGGGCUUACAGGGUGCGUAGGCGGCCUGUUAAGUAGGGUGUGAAAUCCCCCGGCCCAACCGGGGAAUGGCGCUCUAAACUGGCAGGCUUGAGUGAGCUAGGGGUGCAUGGAACUUCCAGUGGAGCGGUGAAAUGUGUUGAUAUUGGAAGGAACACCGGAGGCGAAAGCGAUGCACUGGGGCUUAACUGACGCUGAGGCACGAAAGCCAGGGUAGCGAACGGGAUUAGAUACCCCGGUAGUCCUGGCCGUAAACGAUGAGCACUAGGCGGGAGGAGGUUCGCCCCCUCCGGCCGUAGCGAAAGCGUUAAGUGCUCCGCCUGGGGAGUAUGGUCGCAAGGCUG
This 512-nucleotide ribosomal RNA is filed under the name uncultured Planctomycetota bacterium. RNAcentral describes it as "bacterial SSU rRNA". It matches the Rfam family "Bacterial small subunit ribosomal RNA", at positions 376 to 896 of the family's 1533-position model. The record is from RNAcentral. Lineage: Bacteria; Pseudomonadati; Planctomycetota.